This 440-nucleotide ribosomal RNA is filed under the name uncultured bacterium. RNAcentral describes it as "partial 16S ribosomal RNA". It matches the Rfam family "Bacterial small subunit ribosomal RNA", at positions 338 to 795 of the family's 1533-position model. The record is from RNAcentral.
CCUACGGGAGGCAGCAGUGGGGAAUAUUGCACAAUGGGGGAAACCCUGAUGCAGCGACGCCGCGUGAGUGAAGAAGUAAUUCGUUAUGUAAAGCUCUAUCAGCAGGGAAGAAAAUGACGGUACCUGAGUAAGAAGCCCCGGCUAACUACGUGCCAGCAGCCGCGGUAAUACGUAGGGGGCAAGCGUUAUCCGGAUUUACUGGGUGGAAAGGGAGCGUAGACGGCAGUGCAAGUCUGGAGUGAAAGGCGGGGGCUCAACCCCCGGAAUGCUCUGGAAACUGUACGGCUGGAGUGCAGGAGAGGUAAGUGGAAUUCCUGGUGUAGCGGUGAAAUGCGUAGAUAUUAGGAGGAACACCAGUGGCGAAGGCGGCUUACUGGACUGUAACUGACGUUGAGGCUCGAAAGCGUGGGGAGCAAACAGGAUUAGAUACCCCAGUAGUC